This 267-nucleotide long non-coding RNA is filed under the name Setaria viridis. Its description in RNAcentral is "long non-coding RNA (SVIR_LNC009854)". The record is from RNAcentral. Lineage: Eukaryota; Viridiplantae; Streptophyta; Magnoliopsida; Poales; Poaceae.
GAGUACAUAGAACAAACGGAUCAUAUGGCUAAGUGCGACUUCUUGAAGAACUUAAAAUACCAGGCCGAGCAUUUACCCCAAUUUGGUCGGCCUUAAGACAUCAUAGUUUUCAUUGUUUUUCCUAUCAUUUUUGUAAUUUGUCCAUCUGUGUCCUGUUCUUCUCUGGGCACAUAUCCUUUGAAAAUACAAGGUACAAAUACUCAAAAUCCAUUUGCAUACAGGUCUAGAAUUUUUCAAAAAUUCUGAAAUCCUGGCUAGAGGUGUUGG